Long non-coding RNA from Dinoponera quadriceps, 693 nucleotides. RefSeq lists it as uncharacterized. Lineage: Eukaryota; Metazoa; Arthropoda; Insecta; Hymenoptera; Formicidae. The transcript is spliced from 2 exons. The record is from RefSeq and is a predicted model, not a curated record.
UGCUGCGAUAGCGGCGUGUAAACGCGCCGUCGGUAGUUCCCUGCCAAACUGAAAAUAGUCGGCGAACUAAUAUCGCGACGUCGGAAAUAUUUUAUACGUACGUUGCGCGCACUCAUAUUCGAGCAACUUUCCUUACGAGUUAUAACACGCGCGCACGCCUUAUAUCCGCCUUCAAAAAUAAUUUCGCUAACCGUGAUUCCUUACGAGCGUGCAAUAACGUGAGAGGAAAAAAGGUCGUCUGCGAUGCACCGCGCCGCGGUCUGAAUUUAGUGUCGCGCGGAUACUUUCUGUUAUUUUUCCGCUGAAAUCCCGGCUACGCCGAUGGACGAUCUUCGCGAUGUGGAUUCGGAAAUCUCGUCGGACGUCUCGAGGCAGGUAGACGACAAGUAUCCCAAAAAAGGAUCGUAGACACCGAUCGAGGCGAUACGUAGUGGACGAGUGGAUAAUAAAAAAAAGGAGAUGGAAGAGACGCUCGAUGAAAAAUACGUGCCCUCUCGUGUACAUGUAAAAACUUGUAUUUGCGAUGAGGAUUUUAAUUUUUAAAUACAUAUUUGCCACGAAACGCGAAAUGUUUCAUUAUGGCGUGUGUAAAUAAAUGAGAUUCGGAUUUAAAUCGUAUAAGCGCCCUUCGAUUUUUAAUUUAUACUUUCUAUGUACAAAUUAUAUACAAUAAAAUGUGAAUUCAUAUUCGCG